UCCGAGUUGACCCCGGCAGUCUCCCAUGAGUCCCCGCCAUAACGCGCUGGCAACAUGGAACGAGGGUUGCGCUCGUUGCGGGACUUAACCCAACAUCUCACGACACGAGCUGACGACAGCCAUGCAGCACCUGUAUACCGACCACAAGGGGGGCCGUAUCUCUACGGCUUUCCGGUAUAUGUCAAACCCAGGUAAGGUGGGGAUGACGUGUGAGAGUACGUCC
This 223-nucleotide unclassified non-coding RNA is filed under the name uncultured Actinomycetes bacterium. Its description in RNAcentral is "uncultured actinobacterium contains 16S-23S intergenic spacer region". Lineage: Bacteria; Bacillati; Actinomycetota; Actinomycetes. The record is from RNAcentral.